CGUGGGUAACCUGCCCAAGAGAUCGGGAUAACACCUGGAAACAGAUGCUAAUACCGGAUAACAACAGAUGAUGCCUAUCAACUGUUUAAAAGAUGGUUCUGCUAUCACUCUUGGAUGGACCUGCGGUGCAUUAGCUAGUUGGUAGGGUAACGGCCUACCAAGGCGAUGAUGCAUAGCCGAGUUGAGAGACUGAUCGGCCACGUUGGGACUGAGACACGGCCCAAACUCCUACGGGAGGCAGCAGCG
RNAcentral lists this ribosomal RNA (246 nucleotides) under uncultured Lactobacillus sp. Its description in RNAcentral is "partial 16S ribosomal RNA". It matches the Rfam family "Bacterial small subunit ribosomal RNA", at positions 116 to 356 of the family's 1533-position model. Lineage: Bacteria; Bacillati; Bacillota; Bacilli; Lactobacillales; Lactobacillaceae. The record is from RNAcentral.